GACGAACGUUGGCGGCGUGCCUAAUACAUGCAAGUCAACUGAAGCAGUGGUAGCAAUAUCGCUGUGGAGGUGGCGCACGGGUGAGUAACACGUAGGUAAUCUGCCUUCAGGUCUGGCAUAACUCCGGGAAACCGGGGCUAAUAGCAGAUGAUGCAGCGGCUCGACAUCGAGACAGUUGUUAAAGCUAUGGCGCCUGAAGAUGAGCCUGCGUCUGAUUAGCUAGUUGGCGGGGUAACGGCCCACCAAGGCAACGAUCAGUAGCUGGUCUGAGAGGAUGAUCAGCCACACUGGAACUGAGACACGGUCCAGACUCCUACGGGAGGCAGCAGUAAGGAAUAUUGCUCAAUGGGAGAAAUCCUGAAGCAGCAACGCCGCGUGAGGGACGAAGGGCUUUUGCUUGUAAACCUCUGUAGUGAGAGAAAAAAAUCCCAAUCUUUGGGACAUGAUGGUAUCUCAAAAGUAAGCCCCGGCUAACUACGUG
This 481-nucleotide ribosomal RNA is filed under the name uncultured bacterium. Its description in RNAcentral is "partial 16S ribosomal RNA". It matches the Rfam family "Bacterial small subunit ribosomal RNA", at positions 28 to 507 of the family's 1533-position model. The record is from RNAcentral.